This 96-nucleotide small RNA is filed under the name Salmonella enterica. Its description in RNAcentral is "partial RtT sRNA". It matches the Rfam family "RtT RNA", at positions 36 to 130 of the family's 130-position model. Rfam says of the family: This family represents a bacterial cis-regulatory element known as RtT RNA. The exact function of RtT is unknown although it is thought that it may be involved in changing the cellular response in relation to amino acid starvation. The record is from RNAcentral. RNAcentral also lists the same sequence under 22 other names. Lineage: Bacteria; Pseudomonadati; Pseudomonadota; Gammaproteobacteria; Enterobacterales; Enterobacteriaceae.
CUAAGGUUCGAUUCGAGCGCAGCGAGAAAGCGUUGCCGCAGGCAACGACCCGAAGGGCGAAGCGCGCAGCGCUGAGUAAUCCUUCCCCCACCACCA